GCCGGCGUGGUGAAACUGGUAGACGCAGUGGACUCAAAAUCCACCGGUAGCAAUACCAUGGGGGUUCGAUUCCCUCCGCCGGCACCA
Molecule: transfer RNA, 87 nt
Filed under: Pseudomonadota bacterium
Lineage: Bacteria; Pseudomonadati; Pseudomonadota
Also listed under: 4 other names
Description: tRNA-Leu
Rfam family: tRNA
About the family: Transfer RNA (tRNA) molecules are approximately 80 nucleotides in length. Their secondary structure includes four short double-helical elements and three loops (D, anti-codon, and T loops).
Source: RNAcentral